Molecule: small RNA, 90 nt
Filed under: Salmonella enterica subsp. enterica serovar Infantis
Lineage: Bacteria; Pseudomonadati; Pseudomonadota; Gammaproteobacteria; Enterobacterales; Enterobacteriaceae
Also listed under: 4 other names
Description: partial RtT sRNA
Rfam family: RtT RNA
About the family: This family represents a bacterial cis-regulatory element known as RtT RNA. The exact function of RtT is unknown although it is thought that it may be involved in changing the cellular response in relation to amino acid starvation.
Source: RNAcentral
GUUCGACCCGAGCGAAGCGAGAGAACGUUGCGUCAGCAACGGCCCGCAGGGCGAGCCACGCAGUGGCGAGUCAUCCUCUAUCACCGACCA